This 253-nucleotide ribosomal RNA is filed under the name uncultured bacterium. Its description in RNAcentral is "partial 16S ribosomal RNA". It matches the Rfam family "Bacterial small subunit ribosomal RNA", at positions 524 to 776 of the family's 1533-position model. The record is from RNAcentral.
UACGUAGGCAGCGAGCGUUGUUCGGAGUUACUGGGCGUAAAGGGGUGUGUAGGCGGUUCUUUAAGUUUGGUGUGAAAUCUCCCGGCUCAACCGGGAGGGUGCGCCGAAUACUGAGGACUAGAGUGCGGGAGAGGAAAGUGGAAUUCCUGGUGUAGCGGUGAAAUGCGUAGAUAUCAGGAGGAACACCGGUGGUGUAGACGGCUUUCUGGACCGUAACUGACGCUGAGACACGAAAGCGUGGGUAGCAAACAGG